Molecule: ribosomal RNA, 497 nt
Filed under: uncultured bacterium
Lineage: Bacteria
Description: partial 16S ribosomal RNA
Rfam family: Bacterial small subunit ribosomal RNA
Source: RNAcentral
GACGAACGCUGGCGGCGUGCCUAAUACAUGCAAGUUGAGCGCUGAAGGUUGGUACUUGUACCAACUGGAUGAGCAGCGAACGGGUGAGUAACGCGUGGGUAAUCUGCCUUUUAGCGGGGGACAACAUUUGGAAACGAAUGCUAAUACCGCAUAAAAACUUUAAACACAAGUUUUAAGUUUUAAAGAUGCAAUUGCUUCACUCAAAGAUGAUCCCUCGUUUUAUUUGCUAGUUGGUGAGUUAAAGGCUCACCAAGGCGAUGAUACAUAGCCGACCUGAGAGGGUGAACGGCCAAAUUGGGAAGGAGACAAGGGCCAAAAUCAUAAGGGAGGCAGCAGGAGGGAAACGUGGGAAAUGGACGAAAGUCUGAACGAGAAAAGCCGAGGGAGUGAAGAAGGUUUUAGGAUCGGAAAACUCUGUUGGUAGAGAAGAAAGUUGGUGAGAGUGGAAAGCUCAUAAAGUGACGGUAACUAAACAGAAAGGGACGGCUAACUACGUG